GGGGCAGGAGAUUGGUGUGGGUUGGGAGGGGUAAGAAGAGUUCAUGGAAUUGAAAGAUUGUCAUUCUGCUGCGUGAAUACUAGAAGACAGUUAUAGGGACUUCUGUCCGAGUUCCCUCCAUCCACCAGGCUCUCUGCCCUUCAGUCUGUUCUUAGGAUGAAGCUUUCACUGAACUGAAGGAAGAGGAAACAACCCUGAAUCCGUGGAGGUCUGUCUGAAUUUGGGGCCCUGCACAAGUACAGGCCUGAUAGAAAAAAGUAAACUGCUCCUGCUCCCAGCAGGUCCUGCUCGGCUUGCAGUCUGGGCAAAACCUGUGAGCCUGAGUAGAAGUGCCUUGCCCAGACGUGCAAACCGCGUUUAGGCAAGCCAGCUCCACACUGUGGAUCAG
RNAcentral lists this long non-coding RNA (388 nucleotides) under Canis lupus dingo (dingo). Its description in RNAcentral is "lncRNA (ENSCAFG00020007341.1)". The record is from RNAcentral. Lineage: Eukaryota; Metazoa; Chordata; Mammalia; Carnivora; Canidae.